This 80-nucleotide transfer-messenger RNA is filed under the name Synechococcaceae bacterium WBB_3_034. RNAcentral describes it as "partial transfer-messenger RNA". It matches the Rfam family "Cyanobacteria transfer-messenger RNA", at positions 210 to 288 of the family's 288-position model. From Rfam's summary of the family: Bacterial tmRNA, also known as 10Sa RNA or SsrA, is named for its dual tRNA and mRNA-like properties. Its role is to liberate the mRNA from a stalled ribosome. The record is from RNAcentral. Lineage: Bacteria; Bacillati; Cyanobacteriota; Cyanophyceae; Synechococcales; Synechococcaceae.
GUGGCUGCCUGACACUCUUAAGGGAGAUGGGGUGAGAUCAGCCUUAUCACCCAAAUGAUCCAUGGGGGCUGGAAGGCCCC